RNAcentral lists this ribosomal RNA (508 nucleotides) under Botryosphaeria dothidea. RNAcentral's name for it is "eukaryotic LSU rRNA". The stretch from base 147 to 300 matches the Rfam family "5.8S ribosomal RNA". Lineage: Eukaryota; Fungi; Ascomycota; Dothideomycetes; Botryosphaeriales; Botryosphaeriaceae. The record is from RNAcentral.
CCCUUUGUGUACCUACCUCUGUUGCUUUGGCGGGCCGCGGUCCUCCGCGGCCGCCCCCCUCCCCGGGGGGGUGGCCAGCGCCCGCCAGAGGACCAUCAAACUCCAGUCAGUAAACGAUGCAGUCUGAAAAACAUUUAAUAAACUAAAACUUUCAACAACGGAUCUCUUGGUUCUGGCAUCGAUGAAGAACGCAGCGAAAUGCGAUAAGUAAUGUGAAUUGCAGAAUUCAGUGAAUCAUCGAAUCUUUGAACGCACAUUGCGCCCUUUGGUAUUCCGAAGGGCAUGCCUGUUCGAGCGUCAUUACAACCCUCAAGCUCUGCUUGGUAUUGGGCACCGUCCUUUGCGGGCGCGCCUCAAAGACCUCGGCGGUGGCGUCUUGCCUCAAGCGUAGUAGAACAUACAUCUCGCUUCGGAGCGCAGGGCGUCGCCCGCCGGACGAACCUUCUGAACUUUUCUCAAGGUUGACCUCGGAUCAGGUAGGGAUACCCGCUGAACUUAAGCAUAUCAA